RNAcentral lists this ribosomal RNA (253 nucleotides) under uncultured bacterium. RNAcentral's name for it is "partial 16S ribosomal RNA". It matches the Rfam family "Bacterial small subunit ribosomal RNA", at positions 524 to 776 of the family's 1533-position model. The record is from RNAcentral.
UACGUAGGGUCCAAGCGUUAUCCGGAAUCACUGGGCGUAAAGCGUCCGCAGCCGGGAGUCUAAGUGAGGUGUUAAAUCGUGUGGCUCAACCAUAUCGAUGCAUCUCAUACUGGGCACCUAGAGGAAAUCAGAGGCAAGUGGAAUUACGAGUGUAGCGGUAAAAUGCGUAGAUAUUCGUAGGAACACCAAUGGCGAAGGCAGCUUGCUGGGAUUUUUCUGACGGUCAGGGGCGAAAGCGUGGGGAGCGAACAGG